RNAcentral lists this ribosomal RNA (340 nucleotides) under uncultured Anoxybacillus sp. RNAcentral's name for it is "bacterial SSU rRNA". It matches the Rfam family "Bacterial small subunit ribosomal RNA", at positions 1044 to 1382 of the family's 1533-position model. Lineage: Bacteria; Bacillati; Bacillota; Bacilli; Caryophanales; Anoxybacillaceae. The record is from RNAcentral.
CAUGGUUGUCGUCAGCUCGUGUCGUGAGAUGUUGGUUAAGUCCCGCAACGAGCGCAACCCUCGACCUUAGUUGCCAGCAUUCAGUUGGGCACUCUAAGGUGACUGCCGGCUAAAAGUCGGAGGAAGGUGGGGAUGACGUCAAAUCAUCAUGCCCCUUAUGACCUGGGCUACACACGUGCUACAAUGGGCGGUACAAAGGGUCGCGAACCCGCGAGGGGGAGCCAAUCCCAAAAAAGCCCGACUCCUCAGUUCGGAUUGCAGGCUGCAACUCGCCUGCAUGAAGCCGGAAUCGCUAGUAAUCGCGGAUCAGCAUGCCGCGGUGAAUACGUUCCCGGGCCUU